GCCCUUAUGUUUCUCCCUGUAUUGAGUUACAUAAUAUAUCCUAAUGUCACUGAUCUUAAUAAUAAUAUAACAAUACCAGCUCCUACCACUACAUACAAUAUACCUGAUGCUACACUAGGAUCAGUAUAUACUGUUGGAGUGGCUGCUAGCAAUGUAUUAGGAAUAGAUACUACUGAUUUUGCAUCAGCUACAAUAAUGAUAAUUUCAACUGCAAUGACUGAAAUGUUUUCAUCUACUAUAUCAUUUCCUGCUAUAUCUACUUCUUCCCUCACUUCUGCAGGCACUGUUAGUAAUUCUGUUCCUUCCGCUACAAGUAGUACAUUAAUGAGUACAACAAUAAUGUCACCUUCUAGUAGCAAUAAUGUACCUGGUAAGCUUAUAAUACUUUACAUUAUAAUAUUAAUAAUAGUUACAAGUAUGAGCAAAGCAACACAAUUCACAUUAACAACAACUGCACCAACUAACAGUCCUAGCCUAUAUGCUAUAAUCAAUUUUGCAAUGUUGUUAUUUUUUAAAAUUUAGCUACAGGUGGGUCAAACAGUACAGUGUACAUUGGUAUAGGAGCUGGUGUAGCACUGAUUGCCAUUGUUAUACUAAUACUCAUUAUUGUUGGUUGUAUGGUCUGGCGUAAACCUUGGAAAAGAGACAAAGAAAACACUACCACCAAUACAGUAAUAUAUGAUACACCAACAGAUACAGUACAGGCGGUUCCUAAUGUACCAGUUAGUAUGAAUACAGCUUAUGGAACAGCCACUGGUAGUAGAGGAGUAGUACGUACUUCAGAUAAUGUUGCUUAUGGUCAUGUGAGUGCUACUAGUAACACUGGAGCAAGGCAACCUGAUACUGUUGUAUAUGAAGCAGUUCAAUAAUGGAAUGUGUUUGUUAUGUAUAGUGACAUGUUCUUACUUUAUCAAUUUUUAUUAUUGUUUUGAAAACUGUAGAA
Amphimedon queenslandica is the source of this 943-nucleotide long non-coding RNA. RefSeq lists it as uncharacterized. NCBI's taxonomy places the organism in Eukaryota, Metazoa, Porifera, Demospongiae, Haplosclerida, Niphatidae. The record is from RefSeq and is a predicted model, not a curated record. The transcript has 3 exons.